RNAcentral lists this ribosomal RNA (764 nucleotides) under uncultured bacterium. Its description in RNAcentral is "bacterial SSU rRNA". It matches the Rfam family "Bacterial small subunit ribosomal RNA", at positions 1 to 807 of the family's 1533-position model. The record is from RNAcentral.
UUCGCCCUUAGAGUUUGAUCCUGGAUCACAGCGAACGCUGGCGGCAGGCUUAACACAUGCGAGUCGAGCGGGCGUAGCAAUACGUCAGCGGCAGACGGGUGAGUAACGCGUGGGAACGUACCUUUUGGUUCGGAACAACACAGGGAAACUUGUGCUAAUACCGGAUAAGCCCUUACGGGGAAAGAUUUAUCGCCGAAAGAUCGGCCCGCGUCUGAUUAGCUAGUUGGUGAGGUAACGGCUCACCAAGGCGACGAUCAGUAGCUGGUCUGAGAGGAUGAUCAGCCACAUUGGGACUGAGACACGGCCCAAACUCCUACGGGAGGCAGCAGUGGGGAAUAUUGGACAAUGGGGGCAACCCUGAUCCAGCCAUGCCGCGUGAGUGAUGAAGGCCCUAGGGUUGUAAAGCUCUUUUGUGCGGGAAGAUAAUGACGGUACCGCAAGAAUAAGCCCCGGCUAACUUCGUGCCAGCAGCCGCGGUAAUACGAAGGGGGCUAGCGUUGCUCGGAAUCACUGGGCGUAAAGGGUGCGUAGGCGGAUCUUUAAGUCAGAGGUGAAAGCCUGGAGCUCAACUCCAGAACUGCCUUUGAUACUGGGGAUCUUGAGUUCGGGAGAGGUGAGUGGAACUGCGAGUGUAGAGGUGAAAUUCGUAGAUAUUCGCAAGAACACCAGUGGCGAAGGCGGCUCACUGGCCCGAUACUGACGCUGAGGCACGAAAGCGUGGGGAGCAAACAGGAUUAGACACCCUGGUAGUCCACGCCGUAAAC